This 887-nucleotide long non-coding RNA is filed under the name Nicotiana benthamiana. Its description in RNAcentral is "long non-coding RNA (NBEN_LNC010548)". The record is from RNAcentral. Lineage: Eukaryota; Viridiplantae; Streptophyta; Magnoliopsida; Solanales; Solanaceae.
AUAAAUACGAUAAUUUAUAGCAGUCUGGUAAAUGAAAGUAUCAACAGGCUAUCAAUUAGAACUCUACGAGGACAAAAUGUUGGAUCAAACAUUUACAUUUGAGAUAUGAACCCGUCUCUAAGCUAGUUUACAAAUUAAGUAGAAUACACAAGAAGGGGAGGGAUAGGCGGUUAAAGAAAAAAAGAAAGGCAGAAGCUAAAAAGCCAAAUAUGUACAGCAACUCUUCAGCUACCAUGUUUUGCAUAUCCACUAGUUUCCUCUGCAACCGUCUCCCAAACAUUUGCCAUCUUUUCUGCAUACCCUGCCUGGUAAAAUCCAACAUGUUAUUUUCUCCUAUUAAUCUUUUCCAAGGGAAUAGAAGAAGGAACAAGUAAAAGGGCUAACGCUUGCUUGAAAGGAAAAUCACUUUGAAGAACACCAGUAAUAGCAGAACGUUCAAUCCAGUUCACAGGUGACAUACCUUAUCUAAGAAAAGUUUAGAGGUGACCUAAAUUUCAUGUAUGCCCGACCAAAGAUUCUACCUUGUCACAAGAAAGUUCAAGUGGCUUGCUAAUAUUACGUUUCCGAGUCCCAGAAAUAAAUGGAUGACAACAUUUUUAGUCAAUCAUUUAUAAUAAUGAUGGCUCGAACUGGAAAGCCAACUGCACCAAAAAACAAGUAGGAAAGAUAGAGGAAGGUAAUAAUUUGUUUGAGUUGAGUUGAUAAUGUAAGCCUUCAGUUUAUCACAAAUCCGGUUUCCAUGUUAUCAUUAUUACAAGCAUUCCUUUUCAAGUUCUCCACGAAGAUGGCUAAAACAACUUAAUCCCAAAAUGUAUAGCCUCUUUCUCACGUUUAAAUGCAGGACUAGAUUUAAGGGUUUAGUUUCUGCUAUUGAAUCCAUGCAACAC